ACUCUGUUGUUGGAGAAGAACGUGCGUGAGAGUAACUGUUCACGCAGUGACGGUAUCCAACCAGAAAGUCACGGCUAACUACGUGCCAGCAGCCGCGGUAAUACGUAGGUGGCAAGCGUUAUCCGGAUUUAUUGGGCGUAAAGCGAGCGCAGGCGGUUGCUUAGGUCUGAUGUGAAAGCCUUCGGCUUAACCGAAGAAGUGCAUCGGAAACCGGGCGACUUGAGUGCAGAAGAGGACAGUGGAACUCCAUGUGUAGCGGUG
RNAcentral lists this ribosomal RNA (261 nucleotides) under uncultured Lactobacillus sp. Its description in RNAcentral is "partial 16S ribosomal RNA". It matches the Rfam family "Bacterial small subunit ribosomal RNA", at positions 430 to 683 of the family's 1533-position model. Lineage: Bacteria; Bacillati; Bacillota; Bacilli; Lactobacillales; Lactobacillaceae. The record is from RNAcentral.